GAUGAACGCUGGCGGCGUGCCUAAUACAUGCAAGUCGAGCGAACGGACGAGAAGCUUGCUUCUCUGAUGUUAGCGGCGGACGGGUGAGUAACACGUGGAUAACCUACCUAUAAGACUGGGAUAACUUCGGGAAACCGGAGCUAAUACCGGAUAAUAUUUUGAACCGCAUGGUUCAAAAGUGAAAGACGGUCUUGCUGUCACUUAUAGAUGGAUCCGCGCUGCAUUAGCUAGUUGGUAAGGUAACGGCUUACCAAGGCAACGAUGCAUAGCCGACCUGAGAGGAGGAGGGGCCACAAGGGAAGGAAAACACGGUAAAGACGCAUGCGGGAGGCAGCAGUGGGGAAUGGGGGAAAAGGGGCGAAAGAAUGAAAAAGCAAGGUCGAGGGGGAGAAGAAGGGUUUGGGUGAUUAAAGAUAUGUUAUCGGGAAAGAAAAGAUGUGACAGAAAAAUCGAAGAUCUGGAAGGUACCAAAAAAAAAAGCAACGGAAACGUCUGUG
Molecule: ribosomal RNA, 497 nt
Filed under: uncultured bacterium
Lineage: Bacteria
Description: partial 16S ribosomal RNA
Rfam family: Bacterial small subunit ribosomal RNA
Source: RNAcentral